Molecule: non-coding RNA, 32 nt
Filed under: Rattus norvegicus (Norway rat)
Lineage: Eukaryota; Metazoa; Chordata; Mammalia; Rodentia; Muridae
Source: RNAcentral
UACCAUGGAAUACCACUCCAGAUGUGGUAACU